This 779-nucleotide ribosomal RNA is filed under the name uncultured Neocallimastigales. Its description in RNAcentral is "partial large subunit ribosomal RNA". It matches the Rfam family "Eukaryotic large subunit ribosomal RNA", at positions 23 to 640 of the family's 3401-position model. The record is from RNAcentral. Lineage: Eukaryota; Fungi; Neocallimastigomycota; Neocallimastigomycetes; Neocallimastigales.
GAGACUCUGUGCGCGUGCAUAUCAAUAAGCGGAGGAAAAGAAACUAACAAGGAUUCCCUUAGUAACGGCGAGUGAAGCGGGAAGAGCUCAAAUUUGAAAUCUUCAAGGUUCUACCUUGACGAAUUGUAGUUUAUAGAAGUGUUUUUCUGUUAGUAGGAGUGGCAAAAGUUCUUUGGAAUAGGACAUCAUAGAGGGUGAGAAUCCCGUAUUUGGUCAUUCCUUCCUAGCGUUGUGAUACUACUUUCAACGAGUCGGAUUGUUUGGGAAUGCAGUCCAAAAUGGGUGGUAAAUUUCAUCUAAAGCUAAAUAUUGGCGAGAGACCGAUAGCGAACAAGUACCGUGAGGGAAAGAUGAAAAGAACUUUGAAAAGAGAGUUAAACAGUACGUGAAAUUGUCAAAAGGGAAGCGUUUGACACCAGUGUUGUUUUUUCCGAAAAUCAAUUACGAAUGUUUUGUUUUUGAGGAGUUAUGACUUCAUCGGCUUGCUUCUCUCUUUACGAAACUUUCUUAAUGCACUUUUCGGUUAACAAGUCAACAUCAAUUUCUUUUGUUGUAAAAGGGUACGAGGAAGGUGGCUUUCUUUUCGGAGAAAGUGUUUAUAGCCUUGUGCCUCUGCAAUCGGAGAGAUUGAGGUCUGCAGCGUAGAUCCUUCGGGGUUAGAUACAUUUGUGCUAAGUUAUAGCUUUUCAUAGACAACUUGUUGACUAUGUUUAGUCUUGUAGCUUACUCGCUUAUGCUAUUUUACCUACGCUUAGGAUGUUGACAGCAGUAUAGACUGU